GUUUUUAUUUGUUUGGUACAGUUCAAAAAUAUGAUCAGAGUUGAGUAAGAGCAUCAAAGAUGACAUUUUAAUACAUUUGAGAAAGUUGAUUGUUAUGACUUUGCCCAAGAUAGUGUUAUCUUAUUGCAGGUAUUUUACAAGAACAAAGGCCUCAUUGGGGGAUUGUUCAGUAGACUGACAUUAAACCCAUAUUUACAUGGUCUUCAGUUGGAAUUUAUGUCUCAAAAAUAUUGCUAAAUGAAUUAAACGUUUGUUUAUAUAGAGUACCAGUACCUGUCAAAAGUUGUACCAUUUUUUACAUUGGUUGAGAGAAUGCCAAGAGUGUGCAAAGCUGUCAUCAAGGCAAAGGAUGGCUACUUUGAAGAAUCUCACACAUAAAAUAUAUUUUGAUUUUUUUAACACUUUUUUUGGUUACUAAAUGAUUCCAUAUCUGUUAUUUCAUAGUGUUGAUAACUUCACUAUUAUAAUACAACGUAGAAAAUAGUCCAAAUAAAGAAAAACGCUGGAAUGAGUAGGUGUGUCCAAACUUUUGACUGGUACUGUAUGUCAGAACAUAAUCCAGUUUUGGCCUGCAGUGCUUUACCCUGGGAAACAUGAUCUUAAAUGGUGGGAUUGUUGGUACAAUAUUCCUCUUACCACAGAUAUAAUCCUUGAUAAAUUUGUCCCAGUGCCCAUUCUUGCUAUUCCCACAAUUAUAGCUCCAGACAAUUUGCAUAGGAAUAUGCACAUUGCCAAAGCGGUACAUGGAUUGAGAAAACAUGACCUCAGUUGCCUGUCUAGGCAUUGCAGAUGUUAUAUUAACUACUAUGUUGUGUCUUACCAAUUUCACUGAACUUAAUGAACUUUUCCACUUGACUUUUGUUGUAUUUUCAGUGUGUUUAUGUAGGGUUUACAAACGGUUACUCUCCACACUUUUUUUAGACUCACUCUACUGUGUGUCCUCUGAUGAAACCAGAGGGCUGAGGGGGUUUCUAUGGCCCACUUCAAAUGUCCAGAUCACAUAACAAAGGGCUCAUUCAUGUACACUGUCAUGUACACUCUCUUGUACACUUUGGGAUUGUUUACAACUAUUUCAUUUCCAAUAUUCUAUUAUGUGCAGUAUAUCCAUUAUUUCCCCAUUCAUAUUGAAGGUUAAGGGUCAAUUUAUAAAACUGAAAAGUGGCAUUAGUUCAAAUACUGUCUGAUAAGAUUAGAGGAAGGAAAUGGAUCACAACCAAUGAUUUAUAUAUAUACACUAGAUUACCAUCUUGGCACUCCCUCACCAUUGUAAAAACUAUUUUGCAAGCUGUAGAAAUACAUUUAUUAAUGGCAACAACGACAAAAUACACAUAUGUUCUAUUACAGACACCUUAAUGCAUACUUUUUAAAUAUAUUAUUAUAUUGUAUAUAAAACAUUUUUCUUAAAGAAUAAUUUUUGAGAUAACUAAUGUUACUGUGCCUACUACAGCAACAAAAAUACUUAUAUACAUUUAAUUGAAAUACUGUAGAAUUCCAUUCAUUCUUAUGGAGGACUGCUCCUUCUGGCUGACAGUUGGCUUCAAAGUCUCUCAGCGGCCAAUAAAAAGCAUCCGCAAUCCAGGGUUUAUUAAUGUCACAGUACUCAUCUUGCGUUGUGUGCAAUCAUCGACAGGAACUUUAACAUGUAGCACCUGUCACACCCUUAUCUGUUUCACCUGUCCCUGUGAUUGUCUCCACCCCCUCCAGGUGUCGCUUAUUUUCCCCAGUGUAUUUAUCCCUGUGUUUCCUGUCUCUCUGUGCCAGUUCGUCUUAUAUGUUUCCAAGUCAACCAGCGGUUUUCCCGUUCUCCUGCUUUUUGCAUUUCCUCCUUUUUUCUAGUCCUCCCGGUCUUGACCCUUGCCUGUUUCUGGACUUUGUAACCCCCUGCCUGACCAUUCAGCCUGCCUUGACCAUGGGCCUGUCUGCCACUCUGUACCUCCUGGACUCUGAUCUGGUUUUGACCUUUUGCCUGUCCACGACCAUUCUCUUGCCUACUCCUUUUGGCUGAAUAAACAUUGUAAGACUCCAACCAUCUGCCUCCUAUGUCUGCAUCUGGGUCUCGCCUUGUGUCAUGAUAGCACCAGUCAUGGAGAUUUACUCUGAUAGAAACAGCACAAAAUUGCACGUCAUGCAAUGCAUGGCUCACCAUCCAACUCUGCACUCACGCACGCUGGUUUUGUGCUUGUUCACUGGGCAACGUAGAUACAACAAUUACAACAUAUAAUAUUUUCAACAAUGUACCUGAUAGAAAGCACAAAAUUGCACGGCUCACCAUCCAACUCUGCACUCACGUACUGUACAAAAUAUACAACCCCCCCCAGACACAGUAAGUUGCUAGCUAGUACUAGCUGGAAUUCUCUACAACAAAAUGCACAUAAAACCUCUGCCUCUUAUGUGUGAUGUUCUAAUAACAUUUACAUAAAUGUAUCUAAAUUGUACAUUCAAAUCAUCACUCGGGAGUAUAAAAAUCCCUUUUGACGUACAGAGCUUUGCAACCAACAACUUACCUCUGGUUUGGUGCUUGUUCACGGGGAUGAUUCUAACUAAAAACAUCCUCCCUCGUAAGCAACCCAUGCAAACCAUCCAAUAAGAUGCCAUGUUAAGUAGGUGAAGGCAAGACAAAACCAAAAACCCAUUGGCUUAACAAAGGGGAAUCACCAAUAGAACCCUGUUACAUAUACAUCAUUGAUCACAACACAGAUGACCUUUGGAUGGUGCAAACUUGAGGACAUCUUUGGACAGCUGUAACCAGUGUGAAAUGGCUAGCUAAUUGGCUGUGUGAGCUAGUAGUGUUUCAAUUGGUAAUGUCACUCGCUCUGAGACCUUGAAGUAGUUGUUUCCCUUGUUCUGCAAGGACUGUGGCUUUUGUGGAGCGAUAGGUAACGAUGAUUUGAGGUUGACUGUUGAUGUGUGCAGAAAGUCCCUGGUUUAAGCCCAGGUUGGGCCGAAUAGAGGGACGGAAGCAAUACUGUCAUACAACCAUGCUUGUCAGCUAAUGCACACAAGCUAGAUCCUAUUGUAUUUGGCAGGCCACCUCAAGAUAUCGCCAGGGGCACUGAAGUCAAAUUUGAAAGAACAGAUAAGAUAUGAACGCUUUCACUUACCAUUUCCAUUGAGAUUUACUCACACACCAGUGUGUUGCCAGUGUUUUAUGCUAAUGCAGUAGCAGUGUGUGGGUAAAAUCCCUGAGGAAGCCAAGCCAAGCCAGUAAAAAAAGCAAUACAAUCUUUGUUGUGAUAAUUGCAUUGUUUGUUCUAUAACCGAUUCGUUCAUACGCCACCAUGAUAUACAAUAAGGUCGUGACAACAAAAACAACAGUCACUCAGUAACAGGAUAAAUUCAACUACCCUUACGUUUGUUUCAUCACAAAACUGCAGAGCGACAUCUGUCCGCUGAAGUCCACAAAGCAAAUAUUGCAUGUAACAAACAGUUAAGUCACCUGCAGCACGGUCAAGCAAGUUAAGGUUUUUACAGUUUACUCAACAACUACUGAUUUAGAACAACAGAGUUACCGCAAGUCAGCGCAAAAACAACAGGAGCACUGUCUCCGCCAUUCCAGCAUCAUUUCCAUUUAGACAUUUAUCAAAUCAACAAGGCUAUUUAAACAUUCAUCAAAUCAACAGUGCUAUAUAUGCUUAAAGAUCAAAUAUAUGUGGUUAAAGAUACCAAAAAUGAUUUAGUCCAAUCAAUGUUAUUCAAUAUCACGUGGCUGUCCUAGUAAGCUAGCUACUUUUUUAAUGUAUUUAUUUAACCUUUUUUUUAAAAACUAGGCAAGUGAAUUAAGAACAAAUUCUUAUUUACAAUGACGGCCUACAAAGAGGCAAAAGGCCUCCUGCGGAGAUAGGGGCUGGGAUUAAAAAGAAAAAUGCUAAUACAGGACAUCAACACAAGCAGACCAGAAACAGACAAUUAAGUUUUGCUUAGAAAUUGAUUUCAUUAGUGUGAAGCCAAAUCCAAACUGGCCAUCCUUAGGGGGCGUUUUGCUGCACCAGGACAACCCACAGUUCAGCUCAUCUCAGCUCAACGCUGAUUGCCAAAAUGUUUUAUCGAUGGAGGCCAAAUCAAAUCAAAUGUAUUUCUAUAGCCCUUCUUACAUCAGCUGAUAUCUCAAAGUGCUGUACAGAAACCCAGCCUAAAACCCCAAACAGCAAGCAAUGCAGGUGUAGAAGCACGGUGGCUAGGAAAAAAUCCCUAGAAAGGCCAAAACCUAGGAGGAAACCUAGAGAGGAACCAGGCUAUAAGGGGUGGCCAGUCCUCUUCUGGCUGUGCUGGGUGGAGAUUAUAACAGAACAUGGCCAAGAUGUUCAAAUGUUUAUAAAUGACCAGCAUGGUCAAAUAAUAAUAAUCACAGUAGUUGUCGAGGGUGCAACAGGUCAGCACCUCAGGAGUAAAUGUCAGUUGGCUUUUCAUAGCCGAUCAUUGAGAGUAUCUCUGCCGCUCCUGCUGUCUCUAGAGUUGAAAACAGCAGGUCUGGGACAGGUAGCACGUCCGGUGAACAGGUCAGGAUUCCAUAGCCGGAGGCAGAACAGUUGAAACUGGAGCAGCAGCAUGGCCAGGUGGACUGGGGACAGAAAGGAGUCAUCGUGCCAGGUAGUCCUGAGGCAUGGUCCUAGGGCUCAGGUCCUCCGAGAGAGAAAGAAAGAAAGAGAAUUAGAGAGAGCAUACUUAAAUUGACACAGGACACCGUAUAAGACAGGAGAAAUACUCCAGAUAUAACAGACUAACCCUAGCCCCCCGACACAUAAACUACUGCAGCAUAAAUACUGGAGGCUGAGACAGGAGGGGUCAGGAGACACAAAUGCUUGCUGGCAUCAAUCAAUCAAAUUCUAUGCCAGCAACAUGUUAUACUCUUUUGGUCCAGACAGCAUCUGAUACAGGGCUAAACAUACUGAGACAGAUUGAUGCUGUUUCCCUCGCUCUGAUGAUUUCUCCGGUAAGAUUCAGCCACUUGCGAAUUGACGGAAAAUUAUAAAAACACACAGAGAGACGAAAGAUAAAUUAUUUUAUCAUUUGUAUUUUUUUGUUCAUCAAAUAUUUGGGCAGCCUGGCUUCCCUUGGCGUCCAAGAACACAUGCAACUGUGCUAAUGUAAACUCCAGUGUAAUUGUGUUUCCAUAGCUCGGGUUCGUUUCUGUUUCCAUCUACGCAGGCCAGCAUCCGUGUCUCACUGGGCCAUGGAUCCAGGGGACCUGCUCUGACUUAGGGCCAAUGCCAGGCAAGCUGGAAUUUAAAUUUCAAAGGCCUAACACCUUUUCAAAAGGCAACUGUCUUGAUGAUGCAGAGGUUGUUGAUUCUGCUAUACCCAAGUCUUUAGUGGCACACUACUGAUGCAAUAACAAUUACACUAGAGCUUACAUUAGCAGAACACUAGCGACACAAUGGUGUGGGGUAAGUCUUAGGUGGAAGUGCACCAUUAAGGAAGUGGCAGACAUAGAAAAAUAUAGGGGAAGCACUCCCUAUGUGUUCAGUGUGUGUCCCACUCCCAGGUCGCCUGCUUGUGGUCUUGUCUCAGCCUGCCUCACUUGUCACCUUGGCGGGCCGCACUGUGAGCCCCUAUACGAACCACCUCGCCCCUAUACCCGUCCACUCGUCCCACGGGUUUCAUUCAAUAGGACGGGAGCACACAGGAGUAAACAAACACAAACACACAGAGAAACAGAGAUGUUGGCGACUGUCGCCAGCUAACCCCCGCACCAGUGUCCCUGUCUGAGGAGACGAUUACAUGUUUGUUGUCUGAUGAGAGUCUCUGGUGACAGACUGUGUGACGACGCUCAGAUCCACUGAUACUCCCUGUCUCUCACAUCUUCCAUUGCACCCAAACACAUCAACACAGUCAUCCAUCAUAUCAAACCACAGAGGCGUUUAUCCCCUGACAGCGUUUAUCGCCAUGUAUACUGUAAGGUCAUAGAGUUACAGCCAUAGAAAAAGUAUCUCCAGAACCAAAUUGCUGCGGUCUGAGGGGCUCCGCAGAUUCUAAUGAUUCUAUUUCUUUGGUAACAACCCAGCUAGCACAUAAUUCUCUGAGAGCCAUAUGUUUCUUAGAGCUUGGUAAGAGUGUGGUUGUUAACAGAAUGUUUCUUCAAAGUUCAAAAAUUGUUUCAAAAAAUGUUUCAAGAACGUUAAGCAACAAUAUUCGUCUUUGUGAAUUUCAGUACUUCCACAGACCAUUGCACACAAGUUUCGAUGUGGUUCUAUUUAAAGUCAUAUUUUUGCUGCAUUCUGGGAAUGUUAGAAAAAUGUUGUGACUUAAGCAAUGUUCUCAGAACAUUCAGAGAAUUUAUGGUUCUCUUUUAUGUCAGUUCUUGGCAAUAUUCUGUGAAUUGUUAAGUGUGUUCAGGUGUGUUGGCAGGGACCACUAAUUGGCCACACCAGGGGUGUAUUCAUUACAGAAACCGUUUACCGUAUAAGAACCAAGCGCAAGAAAACAGAGAUACGGGGAGCGACCUAUCUGAAUUUGUCCAAUAGAAACUCUCAUUUGCAUUUUCCGUUUGGAGUAAAUUGUUUCUGUUGCAAAACGUUUUGCAACAGAAUCUUUUCUCAUGUCUGUUUUCAAAGGGUUAAACUAAGAACAUUAACAACAACAGUUACUGUAUAUUAAAAAUAUUGUUUAAAUGUCCUAAAGUAUAUAAACUUAACUGUUGGAACCAAGACUUAAAAAUAACUGAAGAUGGAGGGAAAGUUGGAGCAUAACUAACAAAAUUACAGUUGUAUGCUUAAUCCAAUAGUGACUCAAUAAUCCAUGCUUUCCAGGAACGUUAUCAAGUCAAAAAGUUAUGGACGGAGCUAUAAAGUUGUCUUUCAGAAGUAUUACAAUGUAAACAUACUUUGAAUCCAUCUGCAUAUUUCAAGACAUGGCAUAUGGGGGUGUAGUGAGAUACCCAAAAGGGCUAGAUGAUUCUCUUCUCAUCACUCAAUCAAUUCGCCAUCAUUAACACAAUGGAAAAAUCUAAACUAUUAUUAUCGAAAUAUUGAAAUAGCAUGGGCGACUGAGAAAAAUGAAUUGGUACAAUUUAAGGCCAAUUGCCAAACAAUAAUGCAGGCACUAGGGAUGGGUGAUGUGAGCAUGAGGGUCUGGGCAGAUGAUAUGUAGUCAUUGUUUGUGUGCAUCUGUAAGUUGUUGUUCGUAUGUAUAAGUUUGUAUCUGGAAUGGGGGGAAAAAGGUCACAACCUUUAGAGAAUGUUAUUUAAUUACCUUCAAAUAACCUAUCAUUUCUGUUCUCAGCGCGUUAAUAAAACCUCCCAGGAAAACUUUCAGGUAAAAAGAGUAAAACAUUCUCAGAACCUCCCUGCAACUUAAACAUGAACUUUGCCAGAAAAGGCUAAAUGUUCACUUCUGUUCUCAGAUCGUUCCCACAGCCAAUGUAAAACCAAAAACAUACGUUCCCACAACUUCCAAGGAACCAAAUGUGCUAGCUGGGAAUCAAGUGAGUCUGGGUCUUCCAACACUCAGACACUUAUCUCAGCACCUCACCAUUGUUGGAACAGAGCCAGGAAGGGGGAACAGAGACAAACUGCAGGGGUAAACCCCAUACCCACUGCCUCUAGGCCAUACCGCCAGGUAUCACACACAUAAGUUUAACCUCCACAACCACUGUGCUGUUAAACAUACUGAGCUGUCCAGGUACAGUAGAUGGAUUGGAAAGGCUCGGUGUAGAUAAUAGUCACAUUUCCCAUUGACCUUUCACCUGUUACACUUUUCUGAUAAAAUGUCAUCAUACUGUCUGAUAGCCUUUUGCUCACAAUCAGACAGAGACAGAAACAAGCCUUGGCAGUCAUUUUUAUCUGUAGCCAGCUUCUAUGGUCAUAUCCGUUGCUUUGAUCAGAUUGCAAGUCAAGAGUGGAACUUUUUGUUGCACUCAGGUGUAAGGCUGUGGUGGUCACAAAAUUUUGUCAGCCAGUGAUUGUCAAGCAAAUAACUCUCGGUCUCACUUAGCAUCUCCUGGCUGGAAUAAAUCCAUGUAAUAUAGCCUACACCUUCCCAAUAAAUCCAUACUUUAUUUUAGACAGGUCUAAAGAAGCAUGAUAUUAAUCAAAUGUAGUCUAUUUCAGAAGAACAGAAUAGUAAACUCUGAGUUGUCCUUAUGCUAGGUCCUGAUCUGGUUAUGCCAAAUGGCUGUGGGCUACACUAGUUAAUUUAACAGACACGAUUAUCUUAGAAUUACGUGGAAUUAUUUUAAAGUAUGACGAAUACAACUGAACAGAGCUGAAUGAAAUAUAAAUUAUAUUUUCUCCAAACGUUUUGAGGGAGUGGCUUUAGUUGUUCUACAAACGUUGGGCUAUUUGUUUUGAUGUUUAACACAUUGUAAGACUGCAUGAUGCGACUAAUGAUGAUUAGAAAAAAAUCGCAUGAAAAGGCAUGAGCUCUGCUUUGUGUUUUGCGGAGGCUGUCGCCUUCUUCAGGCUCGCAUUCACAAUUUGACAAUCUCUUGAAAAUACCUCAAAUAGUGGCCGUAGUGCACCCUAAAAUAGUGUGGCCGUGCGUGCUCCUAAGCACCUCUCAGUCACACGGCUAUUUUAUCCUUCAUGUGAUUGUCUUUAAGGUCCUUAACCAAUUCCGAGGUGCAUAUUGAAGAUAUUGGAAGAACAUUCCACAUUUACUUUUCGUCAGCCAACAAUAUGAGUAGGCCUAACGAACAGCAAAAUCACUAGUCUAUGUCAAUCUACUAUCCCCCACACUGUAUUGCAAAAGACGGACCUAUUCUAUUCUGUGCAAUAAAUACAUAUUCCAAACAUAGUCUGGGACAGUUGUGGGAUGAGAUAGAUCCCAAUUUAAUACAACCACUAGCAUACAUUUGUUUUAAUGCAAUGUAGCUGACGCAGCAGAUCAGAGCAUUUAGCUUUAAAUGUUUCUUAAACUAUUAGGCUAUCUCUUCACAUUAUAAGCGUAGCAAUGCGCACAUGGCAGUAAUGCUUUUAUUAUUAAUGUGCAUUUUUAUGGUGAAAAUGAUCUUCCCCAAACGUGAAACUCACGCGCUGCUUAUGUAUGCCAGUUAGGCUCCCAUGUAAAGCGUAUUAAUGCGCUUAAUUUGAAUACAUUAUUUGGCCACUUUAACUGUGAUACAAACACACUGGGCUAGGCUACAUGAGGUGUGCGACUAUGAUUAGAAAAAGUAGCAAAAAAUUGCAUUUUUCUUGCCUUAUGCUGGCAACAUUCACAAGUGAUAAUAUAUCAUUGAUAGGCUAGUAUUGUCACCAUCAGACUAUUCCUGAUUCAAUCUUGUCUUUACAUAUGCUAAAUAAUAUACAGUACCCAAUCAAAAGUUUGGACACACCUACUCAUUCAAAGGUUUUUCUUUAUUUUUACUAUUUUCUACAUUGUAUAGUAAAUAACACACAUGGAAAUAACACACAUGGAAUCAUGUAAUAACCAAAAAAGUGUUAAACAACUAAAAAUACUGUAUAUUUUAUAUUUGAGAUUCAUCAAAGUAGCCACCAUUUGCCUUGAUGACAGCUUUGCACAUUAUUUGCAUUCUCUCAACCAGCUUCACCUGGAAUGCUUGUUCAACAGUCUUGAAGGAGUUCCCACAUAUGCUGAACUCUUGUUGGCUGCUUUUCCUUCACUCUGUGGUCCAAUUCAUCCCAAACCAUCUCAAUUGGGUUAAGGUUGGGUGAUUGUGGAGGCCAGGUCAUCUGAUGUAGCACUCCAUCACUCGCCUUCUUGAUCAAAUUGCCCUUACACAGCUUGGAGGUGUGUUGGGUCAUUGUCCUGUUGAAAAACAAAUUUUAGUCCCACUAAGCGCAAACCAGGUGGGAUGGCAUAUCGCUGCAGGAUGCUGUGGUAGCCAUGCUGGUUAAGUGAGCCUUGA
Molecule: long non-coding RNA, 9802 nt
Organism: Oncorhynchus tshawytscha (Chinook salmon)
Lineage: Eukaryota; Metazoa; Chordata; Actinopteri; Salmoniformes; Salmonidae
Source: Ensembl